Long non-coding RNA from Cyanistes caeruleus (blue tit), 2279 nucleotides. RefSeq lists it as uncharacterized. The record is from RefSeq and is a predicted model, not a curated record. NCBI's taxonomy places the organism in Eukaryota, Metazoa, Chordata, Aves, Passeriformes, Paridae.
AGGUUUUCUUAGGAUUUAAGCUUAAGUUCCAUAUUGUAUUAUCACCACCAUAUGGAUUAUCUUUGACUCACCCACCUAGACACCACAAACUGUUGGUGACAACGUCUGGAGCUCCUGCUCUGAUUCCAUGCUAGAUUAUUUUAAAAUAGAGAUAGCAACGUUUCAGACAUACCGUCCAUAGAUGUGACUCUGCUGUGGGAGCACAGUCUGACAUAAUAGUACAGCUACUUUACUGCAUUGCUGGAGGGAUAAGAUUUUCAACACCUGUUCAGAUAUGAAUGAUACAUUUAUUCCUCAUAUCUCUACAGUGAAAACUCAUUUUCCUCUGAAGAUAAAAGCAGUUCCUUCUGUCAAAUCACCAAAUCACCCCCAUUUCCACCCAGAAACCUCCUGACACCUCAGAAGCAACCCAUUCCUCCCAAACUCAAAUCAUCUGUUUCCAGAUGGAACAGGUCCAUGCAUUGGAGCAAAAUUUUGAAGACAGUGAUUGGACUAAAACUACAUGCAUGUCCUGGUUUCCACAUUUUCAAAUUGCCCCUAAUAUGUCAAUCUGUUUAGAACAGACACUUACAAGGUAGUUGUAGCUCUCCUGUGGGAGGAAAACAUGUUUGAGCAUUUUAUGAGAAGAAUGUCAGCCUUAUCAAGAGGUUACAGAACAGAAUGGAAAAGGUUUAUUUAGUAUCCAGAGAGCAAGUGACAAAUAUGAAGGAGGCCAAAUGCCAGGUGAAAAACAACCUGGCUUGAUCUCAACUGAGUUUUUAUACUCUGUGUCAUAUUUUUCAUUUUGUGCUUGGAUGACUCCAAAGCUAGUAUGUGGUAACACUGCAUGCUCUGUAGGUGCAUAUGGAUGUGGAGUUGAGGUAUAGGUAAUGCACAGGAACCAGCCAUGGGGAAGAACAUAUAAUCCCUAUGCUAAGGAAAAUGUGUUUCUUGAACAUAUAUAGAGUAUGUUCUGUGUGUAGCAGGCCAGACCAAGCCACCCAUACAUAAUAAGAAAAUGCCUGCUAGGAAGAUAUUCAGUCUUUAGAAGUAAUUCAUACUUAGAACUCCAGAAAUCAGAAUUUAAGAUGUUGCAAAAAUGUUUCAUUCUCCUAGAAAUGUAUCUGCUAUUGUAAAAUAAAAUUCUUCAUGUUGACACUCAAGUUUCUUUCAUGAUUUUUCUACUCUAAACAAAACUUUGGCUGAGGAUUUUGUUUAGAAAGCUCUUCAGAUGAGAGAAAGAAAAAAGGCAUUGGAAAACUAGAUACUGUUAAGCUAAAUCCUACUGUGCAGAUCUGUGAAAAUCUGGCUGCAGAACUUACUGUGCUCCUUAAAUUAGGUCUGUAGUAGAAAGCAAAAUUAUUUGCACUGUGACCAAAUUCAUUAAUUUCCUGUUCUCUGAGAUAUGCCUAUUGUGGGAGUAAUUCUUCAGUGUCAGUUUAGCCACAAUAUUUAUACGUGUCUGUACACCUCUUCAGAGAGAGAGCUGGUAAUCCAUCCUGUUAAAGGCUUACAUACUUCUUUGAUACUAAAAUAUUUUUCUUUAUUCCAGAUAUAAAUAUCUGGUGCCACUGAGGUGGGAUAUACUGCCUAAUGUGACAGUGAGCUACAAACUUGGAGCCAGUGGGCAAUGUCAAAGGUUUUACAUGAAGAAAAAUACGUGGAUUAUGUCAUGGUCAGAUUGGUGUCCCAUGCAAGACACGAGGACAAGUUAGAUCAAGGCUGCGAAGGAAACUGAGGUAACUACUUUAGAGUAGGUCUGAACCUGAAGAAUGAAAGUGAGGUGUCCUGGACAUUUGUCUGUAAAUUCUAUCUGAAGGCAAGCAUUAAUUUUCAUAUUUCUACUAAGGUCUUGUGGACAUGUGUUUAUGAAUGAAGGAAACCUAAACAAGAGAUUUCUGCUGCUCUUCAUUGCCUCCUAUUUAUAUUAGGAAGAGAUGGUGAGAAAAAGAACAUCCAAUUUUUUCUGGACAUUUUGCACAGUUGAGAAGACAAUGUGAUUUGAUUAUUUUGUGAAGAUUCCAUAAAAUUUAUAGCUAAAUAAAGUUUCUAAAAUGUUAUUAAGGCCAAAGAGUGUCUGAGAUAGAAUGAUGUAUUGUGGGAUUUUGAUUCUUUAUAUUUUGCAUUGUGAAAUGUGCAACAGCUUUGAUUUUAGAUUUUCUGACCUAUGAGGAUGAAUACUGAUAGAAACCAGAUUGAGAUAUGAUGCUCUGUUUGUGAUUUAAUCUCCCAUAUGCUUUUUGAAAGCAGAUAAGUAAUUUCCAUCAUCAUUUGCAUUAAUAAAAUUCUGGAAAAACAUG